This 71-nucleotide transfer RNA is filed under the name bacterium. Its description in RNAcentral is "tRNA-Gln". It matches the Rfam family "tRNA". Rfam says of the family: Transfer RNA (tRNA) molecules are approximately 80 nucleotides in length. The record is from RNAcentral.
UCGGGGAUCGUCUAACGGCAGGACAUCAGGCUCUGAACCUGAGAAUCGGGGUUCGAAUCCCUGUCCCCGAG